This is a non-coding RNA of Hordeum vulgare subsp. vulgare (domesticated barley), 125 nucleotides long. The record is from Rfam. Lineage: Eukaryota; Viridiplantae; Streptophyta; Magnoliopsida; Poales; Poaceae.
GGAGUACUCCUUUCAUCCGAAAAUACUUGUUAUAGAAAUGAACGUAUCUAGAUGCAUUUUGUUUAUAGAUACGUCCACUUUCAUUUAUUUUUAUGAUAAAUAAUUUCGGAUGGAGGAAGUAUUUU